Arabidopsis thaliana (thale cress) is the source of this 243-nucleotide long non-coding RNA. RefSeq annotates it as other RNA. The record is from RefSeq. NCBI's taxonomy places the organism in Eukaryota, Viridiplantae, Streptophyta, Magnoliopsida, Brassicales, Brassicaceae. The transcript has a single exon.
GACGAAAUGUUGGUUGGUGGUACUAAAAAAUUUCCACUACUCUUGGAACAUCAUAAUCCUCAUUCUUCCGUCUCAGUCUGUGGCCUGAUAAACUCCAUAUAUAGUAGCCACAGAAUCAUAAUUGAUUUUUAUUACUAUAUUUGUCCAUACUACUAAUUGACUCUUUGAAAUAUCAUUUGGUAGACAAAAAGAUCGAUAACUGCGAUAAAGUGACAGCCAGCCACCGAAUCUCAAUCCAAUCAU